GGGAACCAAGCUAGGGAAGCUUUCCAGGCAUUCUCUCUCUCUUAAUUCUCGCACCAACCCUAAAUUAAUUGAAAACCCAUUUAACCGACGAUGUAACUGAGUCCUGGGAAGGGACUUGAGCAAGGUCGCACAGCAGAAACUGCUCCGAUUGUGCGCCCCACCCGCCGGCCACGCAAGCACCGUCCAGCCGCCUUCCUCCCCAACAGUCUUGUCUGGAUAAGCCCUGCUUCCCGGAGAGGCCGGCGCCCCCGUAGACGCUGCUGUGCUAGGCGACGGCAGUGAGGUAGGGGUUCCCGAAGCGGCUGCGGCACGUCCUGUGUGGCGUCCGGUUUUCGAAACGAGGGGUCGCUUAGUCAGAAGAUACGCCAGCCUCUCGCCUCGAGCUUGGCUCCUUCGCCGCCACUUCCCGCGGCCCCCACCUCAAGCCUCUGCUCCCUUCCCGAGUCCUCGCGUAGGAGCCAGAGCCAGGACGAGGGUCGUCCCGCUUCUCUGGACCCGUGGGAACCCUGCGCAGUCCGGUUUCCCGCCAUAUCCUGGGCUCCUAUCACGCUGCCUACCUGGCCUGUAGUAAGAGCACUCAAUAAACAUUUGCUAAAUAAAUGAAUGUUCACUGAUUGCCCGCUUUGCGGCCACUUGGUGCUGGGAGGGGGGACGCAACCUAAAAGGCAUGGGACCUAGCCUCUAGUUCAAAGUUUCUGGAGAGGUCAGGCGUCCUGUCGUGUUCGUCUCUUGUCUUCAGCACUCAGCUCAAUGUGGUACAAGGUCGGCUGGAACACAGGGGUGAAAAGCGAGAUCUGUAGAAGCUUUUAAAACAACUUGUAACAACUGGCAGUGAGGCGGGGCGCUUGGAGAGAGCAGGAAACCAAAAAAGCCUGUGUGUAACAAUACAGGGAGGAGGCUGACCUCAGGGUGUUAGAGGAAAGGCAGCGAGGACAUUGAGUGCUGGGGUGACUGAGACAAAAGGGGCGUAGCCACCAAUACUGACAGGCUUCUUUAGAGCAAAGGUUUGGUAAGCACCGAGGCAGGAACGCCCACGGGGGCGGGGGUGCGGGCAAUGGUGUUAGACUCAAGGCUCGGUACCCAGAGGCGGGGUCACGUGUCAAAGAUGGCCCCAUUCACAUGGAACAGGAGAUGUGCAGCUGGGCGUUGGGGUUGGAAGCGGAGCUGGAGCACCUGCGGUUGACUCUGGGCUGUAUUAUUUACUAGCUGGAGGAUCUUAAGCAAAUUACUGCACCUCUCUGGGCCAGUUUAACCCCUAAAAUGAGAAUAAUAAUGGUAUAUACCGCUAAGGAUUUGGGGGGAUUCUAUGAGUUAGUUUUAUAAAGUCCUUAGAAUGGUGUCUGGCACAUACUAAGCUCUCCAUAAACGUUUAUAGAGAGAGAGAGAGAGAGAGAGAGAGUGAGAGUCUGUUACCAACAUCAUUUCUUGAUGUGAGAGAUAAUUGUACAAGGGCAGCAACAUCUAGCCAAUCAGAGGAAAUUCUGUGUUCUUUUAAAGGGAACUCAACUCAGAUUUAUGGGUCUAGCACAGAAUGCUUCAUUUCUAACCCUCCCAAACCACUUCUCCCUCAAUUUUCCCCACCUCAACAAAUGGUGCCACUGGCCCACCAGCUGGCCAGAAAUCUUGGAACCAUCCAGGACUCCUCUGUCUCAUACACUCGAAAGCCUGCAUCAGCAGACGCUGUCUGCUCUGCUUUCGCGACCCAUCCAGUCUGACGACUUGUCUGCUGCAGUCAGGGAGCCCCAGGCAGCAGCAUCACUACCUGGACCACAGCUUUGCCUCCUCACUGUCUGUCCACCUGCUUCCACUCUUGCUUCCCAUAGUCCGUGUUCACCACUCAGCAGCCAGGGUGAUCAUUUAAGAGGUAAGUCAGAUCAUGUCCCACCAGGCUUGACACCUACCAGUGAAUAAACACCGAAGUCCUCAGGAUGGCCUGGAAAGCUGUACCUGACCUAACCACCCCACCUCCGCCUGUUACAUCUCAUCUCCUACCACUUUCCGCCCCACACCCUGCAUCCCAGCAUGCUGGCCUCCUCGCUGUGGGCUAUGCCAACUGAGCCCAUUCUUGUCUCAGGGCCUUUGCACUAGCUGUUUCCUCUGCCCACUCCCAUCUCCACCCUCCACACGUAUGCACGUGACUCACUCACGUUACUCAGGUCUCUCCUCACAUGUCCCCUCCUCAAGUUGCCUUUGCCUGACCAUCCUAUCUAAAAUGAGCUCUCUGUCCCAUUUCACCACUUUGUCUGGCUUUAUUUUUCUUUCUAGCUCCUCUCCCGGCCUCACUUCAUAUUAGAGACCUGUUUAUCUCUUUAUCAUCCAUUUGCCUCAAUAGACUAUAAACUCACUGAGACCAGAAGUUUCUGUGUCUUGUUCAUUGCUGAAUUCCCGAGCCUAAAAUUGUAUCUGGCACCUGCUGGACACUUAAUAUACAUUUGUUGGAUGAAUGUUUAUAUAUUCUUCUAAUAACCAUGUACUAUCAUGAGAAUUGUAUGAGUUAUUAUUUAUAAAUGCCCAAAAACUGUGCCAAGUGCCAGGAUGGCUUAGGCCCCAGAGAAGUGCUGCUGAGCACCCAAGGCCCUUGCCCCUGGUGGCCUGUUGACUGGGGCCAUGAAUUACAAUGGCAGCACAGCGUGACUCAUGCCAAGGUAGGGGCCUGCGGGGGAUGAUUUGGGAGCGGAGAAAGGCUUUGAAAUCAGAAUGGGAAGUCUUUGAAGACUUGCAGAGAGAGAAGUGGGCUGGACCCCGACUUUGAAAGACUUGUGGGAGUUAGCUAGAAGAGGGGAGGAGAUUCUAGACACAGGGAGACU
Molecule: non-coding RNA, 2807 nt
Organism: Vicugna pacos (alpaca)
Lineage: Eukaryota; Metazoa; Chordata; Mammalia; Artiodactyla; Camelidae
Source: RefSeq, a predicted model, not a curated record